RNAcentral lists this transfer RNA (70 nucleotides) under Pristimantis ridens (pygmy robber frog). Its description in RNAcentral is "tRNA-Tyr". Lineage: Eukaryota; Metazoa; Chordata; Amphibia; Anura; Strabomantidae. The record is from RNAcentral.
UGGUAAAAAGAGGACUUUAACCUCUGUUAUUGGGACUACAAGCCACCGCCUAACCCUAGGCUAUUUUACC